UACAGAGGGUGCGAGCGUUGCCCGGAAUCACUGGGCGUAAAGGGCGCGUAGGUGGCUUGCCAAGCGUGUGGUGAAAGCCCGGAGCUCAACUCCGGGUCUGCCAUGCGAACUGGCAGGCUUGAGCACGGUAGAGGCCAAUGGAAUUCCGGGUGUAGCGGUGGAAUGCGUAGAGAUCCGGAAGAACACCGGUGGCGAAGGCGGUUGGCUGGGCCGUAGCUGACACUGAGGCGCGACAGCGUGGGGAGCAAACAGG
Molecule: ribosomal RNA, 253 nt
Filed under: uncultured bacterium
Lineage: Bacteria
Description: partial 16S ribosomal RNA
Rfam family: Bacterial small subunit ribosomal RNA
Source: RNAcentral